CCUACGGGUGGCAGCAGUGGGGGAUAUUGCACAAUGGGGGAAACCCUGAUGCAGCGACGCCGCGUGUGGGAAGACGGUCCUCUGGAUUGUAAACCACUGUCGCCAGGGACGAAGAUGACGGUACCGGGGGAGGAAGCUCCGGCAAACUACGUGCCAGCAGCCGCGGUAAUACGUAGGGAGCGAGCGUUGUCCGGAAUUACUGGGUGUAAAGGGAGCGUAGGCGGGACUGCAAGUUGGGUGUCAAAUCUACGGGCUCAACCGGUAGCCGCACUUGAAACUGCGGUUCUUGAGUGAAGUAGAGGCAGGCGGAAUUCCUGGUGUAGCGGUGAAAUGCGUAGAUAUUAGGAGGAACACCAGUGGCGAAGGCGGCCUGCUGGGCUGUUACUGACGCUGAGGCUCGAAAGUGUGGGGAGCAAACAGGAUUAGAUACCCCAGUAGUC
This 440-nucleotide ribosomal RNA is filed under the name uncultured bacterium. Its description in RNAcentral is "partial 16S ribosomal RNA". It matches the Rfam family "Bacterial small subunit ribosomal RNA", at positions 338 to 795 of the family's 1533-position model. The record is from RNAcentral.